GGCAGCGUGGCCGAGUGGUCUAAGGCGCUGGUUUUAGGCAUCAGUCCGAAAGGGCGUGGGUUCGAAUCCCACCGCUGUCA
This is a non-coding RNA of Chelonus insularis, 80 nucleotides long. The record is from the annotation of a RefSeq genome assembly. Lineage: Eukaryota; Metazoa; Arthropoda; Insecta; Hymenoptera; Braconidae.